UGGUGGAGUGAUUUGUCUGCCUAAUCGCGAUAACGAACGAGACCUUGACCACUAAAUAGCCCGUACUGCCUCGGCAGUUCGCCGGCCUCUUAGUGGGACUAUCGGCUCAAGCCGAUGGAAGUUCGAGGCAAUAACA
RNAcentral lists this ribosomal RNA (136 nucleotides) under uncultured eukaryote. Its description in RNAcentral is "partial 18S ribosomal RNA". It matches the Rfam family "Eukaryotic small subunit ribosomal RNA", at positions 1299 to 1458 of the family's 1831-position model. The record is from RNAcentral.